Molecule: ribosomal RNA, 1027 nt
Filed under: Clostridioides difficile
Lineage: Bacteria; Bacillati; Bacillota; Clostridia; Peptostreptococcales; Peptostreptococcaceae
Description: bacterial LSU rRNA
Rfam family: Bacterial large subunit ribosomal RNA
Source: RNAcentral
AAUCGAAGCAGUGAACUUAGGCCCCAGUAAACGGCGGCCGUAACUAUAACGGUCCUAAGGUAGCGAAAUUCCUUGUCGGGUAAGUUCCGACCCGCACGAAAGGCGUAACGAUUUGGGCACUGUCUCAACAACAGACUCGGUGAAAUUGUAAUUCCGGUGAAGAUGCCGGAUACCUGCGACAGGACGGAAAGACCCCAUGGCGCUUUACUGUAGCUUGACAUUGGGUCUUGGUACUACAUGUACAGGAUAGGUGGGAGGCUUUGAAACCAGGACGCCAGUUUUGGCGGAGCCAUCCUUGGGAUACCACCCUUGUAGUACUGGGACUCUAACCAUAGGCCAUGAAUCUGGUCUUGGGACACUGUCAGGUGGGCAGUUUGACUGGGGCGGUCGCCUCCCAAAAGGUAACGGAGGCGCUCAAAGGUUCUCUCAGUACGGUCGGAAAUCGUACGUAGAGUGUAAAGGCAAAAGAGAGCUUGAUUGCAAGACAUACAGGUCGAGCAAGGAUGAAAAUCGGACUUAGUGAUCCGGUGGUUCUGCGUGGAAGGGCCAUCGCUCAACGGAUAAAAGCUACCCUGGGGAUAACAGGCUUAUCUCCCCCAAGAGUCCACAUCGACGGGGAGGUUUGGCACCUCGAUGUCGGCUCAUCACAUCCUGGGGCUGUAGUAGGUCCCAAGGGUUGGGCUGUUCGCCCAUUAAAGUGGUACGCGAGCUGGGUUCAGAACGUCGUGGGACAGUUCGGUCCCUAUCCGUCGCAGGCGUAGGAAAUUUGAGAAGACCUGUCCUUAGUACGAGAGGACCGGGAUGGACGUACCUCUGGUGUACCAGUUGUUCUGCCAAGGGCAUGGCUGGGUAGCUGUGUACGGAAUGGAUAAGCGCUGAAAGCAUCUAAGCGCGAAGCCAACUUCAAGAUAAGAUUUCCCACCGCAAGGGUAAGACCCCAGAAAGACUAUCUGGUUGAUAGGUCGAAGGUGUAAGUGCAGCAAUGUAUUUAGCUUAUCGAUACUAAUAGGUCGAGGACUUGACCAAU